This 253-nucleotide ribosomal RNA is filed under the name uncultured bacterium. Its description in RNAcentral is "partial 16S ribosomal RNA". It matches the Rfam family "Bacterial small subunit ribosomal RNA", at positions 524 to 776 of the family's 1533-position model. The record is from RNAcentral.
UACGGGGGGGGCAAGCGUUGUUCGGAAUUACUGGGCGUAAAGGGCCAGUAGGCGGCCAACUAAGUCCGACGUGAAAUCCCAAGGCUUAACCUUGGAACUGCGUCGGAUACUGGAUGGCUUGAAUUCGGGAGAGGGAUGCAGAAUUCCAGGUGUAGCGGUGAAAUGCGUAGAUAUCUGGAGGAAUACCGGUGGCGAAGGCGGCAUCCUGGACCAUUACUGACGCUGAGGCGCGAAAGCUAGGGGAGCAAACGGG